This 505-nucleotide ribosomal RNA is filed under the name uncultured bacterium. RNAcentral's name for it is "bacterial SSU rRNA". It matches the Rfam family "Bacterial small subunit ribosomal RNA", at positions 1 to 509 of the family's 1533-position model. The record is from RNAcentral.
CUAGAGUUUGAUCCUGGCUCAGGAUGAACGCUGGCGGCGUGCCUAACACAUGCAAGUCGAGCGAAGCGCUUAAAUCAGAUUUCUUCGGAAUGACGAUUUUUGUGACUGAGCGGCGGACGGGUGAGUAACGCGUGGGUAACCUGCCUCAUACAGGGGGAUAACAGUUAGAAAUGACUGCUAAUACCGCAUAAGACCCCAGCUUCGCAUGAAGCGGUGGUAAAAACUCCGGUGGUAUGAGAUGGACCCGCGUCUGAUUAGCUAGUUGGUAAGGUAACGGCUUACCAAGGCGACGAUCAGUAGCCGACCUGAGAGGGUGACCGGCCACAUUGGGACUGAGACACGGCCCAGACUCCUACGGGAGGCAGCAGUGGGGAAUAUUGCACAAUGGGGGAAACCCUGAUGCAGCGACGCCGCGUGAAGGAUGAAGUAUUUCGGUAUGUAAACUUCUAUCAGCAGGGAAGAAAGUGACGGUACCUGACUAAGAAGCCCCGGCUAACUACGUGCC